Molecule: long non-coding RNA, 5173 nt
Organism: Cercocebus atys (sooty mangabey)
Lineage: Eukaryota; Metazoa; Chordata; Mammalia; Primates; Cercopithecidae
Exons: 3
Source: RefSeq, a predicted model, not a curated record
CGGCAGGCGCCGGCGCGAACUUCCCCGGCCCCAUUGCUUGUGGACCGAGGAACCUCGCCGGAGAGCGCCGGCGCGACUUCCCUGGCCCCACAUAGAGGACCGGUUGAACCUCGCCCAAGAUCCCUGACCUGUUGGUCAAUAAAGUUCUUUCUUUCCUACCACUUGCCUCCAGCGCCUCUUUCCUGGCCAAAAGGAAUUAGAUAAAUCAGGUGGUGCCGAAACCCGGGAGGAGACCCCUCCUCAGGGUCCCCCAAGGUCCGGGGAGCCUCCUCCUUCCACGCUGCGGACGGACCAGGACCCAAAGAACCGCUUUCUACCAAUCCAUUCCUCUAGAAUCUCCUGGGGUAAGUGCCCUUUGUCUUUCUUUCCCACUCCUUGGCCAAGAAGCCCUGCGCAGGCCCAAGGCCACUUUUGGGGUCACCAGGUGACCCAUAGGAAGCCUUCUGAGACAGAGACGUCUGCUCGGAAGUCUCUCCAUCCACUUACGGCUCCGCGAGCCGCCGGUCUCUAGUGAUUCCAAAGGACGCUUUGGAGUCAGCCAGAGCCCGGUUUCCAUGAGCCAAGGAAAGGCAGUGGGUAAUCCCCAGUCCAAAAUUCCGCGAGACACCCCUUUAGGGUGUUUAUUAGGCAACCUAAAAAACCUACAAUUAGAGCAGGAUCUAAAGUGAAAGCGACUAAUUUUCCUCUCCACUCUGGCGUGGCCGCAAUGUAAACUAGACAAUCAGUCCCAAUGGCCGCCUGCCCGAAGGCACCCUAGAUCGUGAUACUUUAAUCGACCUCGGCAAUUUUUGCCGGCGCCUAGGCAAGUGGUCUGAAAUAAAUUAUAUACAAGGAUUUUGGGAUUUACGCUCUCGACCAGACUUAUGUAGUCAAUGCUCCUUGGCCCAAGUUAUGUUGGCCAGGGCUGGGGUCCCCAUGGGGUGGGACAAAGAGGAGUCAUCCUUCCUGUCCGACCUGUCCGAGGAUCUCAGAAACUCCCAUUUCAGACCUCCAGCAGCCGCCGCCUCCCCUCCUCUUCCACCCUAUACUUCGCCCCCUUCCACUUCCACCUCUACCUUGGCUCCACCUGCCGCCCCUUUCCCCGCCCCCCUCGGCACCUCCCUCUCGCCACCUUGAUUCACCCAUAUCCUCUCACACCCGUUCCCAAAAUUGUUCAGGCCCUGCUCCUACCCCCACUCCUACCCCUCAACCCCCUACGGUUCUGCCCCCCCCACGCGAGGUGGCCGGUGCAGAAGGUGUAGUCAGGGUCCAUGUCCCUUUCUCACUAGCAGAUCUUUCCAAGAUUGAAAAACGCUUAGGAGACUUCUCUGCCAACUCUACGGUUUAUACCGAAGAAUUCAGGUACCUGUGCCAGGUCUACAAUCUAACCUGGCACGACCUCCAUGUCAUUCUUACCUCUACUCUAAACCCUGAGGAGCGAGAGUGCAUCCUAGCGGCAGCCAGGCAGCAUGCAGAUCAGUUACACUUAACGGAUGCUGCUGUUCCAGUAGGGGAAGAAACAAGCAGUCCCAUCUAUUGAGUCCCAUCUACUACCAAGUAGGCCAGCCGGGUCGCCGAAGUCGAGACAUCAUGACCCAAUGCCUCCUGGCAGGACCCUGGGAGCUCCUUCCAGCUCUUACACCUAGACGACGACUGAAAGCGCCUGGACUUGGGGACCCCCAUCACCCUCGCCCAAGCCUCGGGUAACUCUUCAGGUAGCGGGUAAGCCAGUUUCUUUUCUUGUGGAUAUGGGGGUACCCACUCUGUUUUGCCAUCAUUUAGUGGACCUAGUCACCCAUCUCAUAUUUCAGUUAUAGGAGUUGGAGGCACUCCGUCUAGUCCUCUUAGAACACCACCUCUUAAUUGCUGCCUGGCCAAUAACUAUUUUGCACACUUGUUCCUCAUCAUCCCCUCAUGCCCCACUCCUCUACUAGGCCGAGAUAUCCUAAGUCAACUGAAAGCCUGUAUCUCUCUUCCUACUAGCUCCCCCCACCCCGCCUGCCAUCUACUUCUAGUAUUAACUAACUCAAAUGACUCCAACAACCCCACUAACCCUUUCCCUAAUUUCCCCAUUCCUAUAGACCCCCAAGUGUGGGACACCUCCACUCCUGUCGUGGUGGACCAUCAUCCACCAAUACUCAUAAAACUUAAAAACCCAUCUCAGUUUCCAACCUGCCCACAGUUCUCUCUCUCCACAACACUUACGAGGACUAAAACCAAUCAUUACUAGGUUACUCAGCCAACACAUCCUCAUCCCCACUCAUUCUCCCUGUAACACCCCAAUCCUACCCGUAAAGAAGGCAGAUGGGACUUUUUGGUUAGUGCAAGAUCUUCGUCUUAUCAUUGAGGCUGUUUGCCCCACCCAUCCAUAGUUCACAAUCCCUAUACCCUUCCCUCUCAUCCCAUCUAACACAACACACUUUACUGUACCAGAUCUAAAAGAUGCAUUUUUCUCUAUUCCCUUACAUCCAGACUGUCAGUGUCUCUUUGCCUUUACAUGGGAAGACCCAGACACCCAUGCCUCCACCCAACUGACAUGGACAGUGCUUCCCCAAGAUAGCCCCCAUUUCUUUGGGCAAGCCCCUGCAAAAGACUUGGCCUCCUGCCCUCUUAAAAAUAGUAAAAUUCUCCAAUAUGUAGAUGACCUUUUAGUCUGUAGUCCCACGAGACAGGACUCUCUUUUAGACACUGCAAUCCUCCUUCAUCAUCUAGGAUCCAGAGGUUACCGAGUAUCUAAACACAAAGCUGAACUCUCACAACAAUGUGUCAUAUAUUUAGGCAUUGAAAUCACUCCCACAACGCGCUCGCUCACCACAGACCGUUUAACUCUAAUACAAAAUCUUUCUCCUCCCCAAGACGCUAAAGAAAUCCAAUCCUUCCUAGGCCUCGUAGGGUUUUUCAGACACUGGAUUCCUAAUUUCGGAAUCUUGGCUAAACCUCUAUAUGCAGCUGUCAAGGAGACUCCCCAAGGACCUUUGUCUAACCCAAAGUUAAUCUAUAAACAUUUCACUCACCUAAAAAACUGCCUUCUCUCACAUCCUACUCUCUCACUCCCAGACUUCCAACGCCCCUUCCAGCUUUUCACAGAUAAAGACAAAAAGUUGCUAUUGGCCUUUUAGUCCAACCUGUAGGCACCACAUACCGUCCUGUGGCAUAUCUAUCCAAUUAGAUCCCACUGUACAAGGGUGGUAGCCCUGCCUUCGGGCCCUAGCAGUAGCAGCCUGUCUAACCCUGGAAGCGAAGAAACUCAUCAGAGGCUGCAGCCUGACAGUCUUCUCUACCCACCACCUUCAAGACCUUAUUGCCCACAAAAGUAUCAGCCACCUAACCCCGUCCAGGCUUCAACUUUUCCACCUCUUGUUCAUAGAAGACUCUACCAUUGCCCUAGGAGUCUGCUCCUCUCUAAAUCCAGCAACCUUACUCCCCAACCCUCUCAAACAACCCCAUACUGAACACUCCUGUCCAGAACUUUUAGAGGCCCAACCACCUAGUCACUUACAUUUACAUGACCAACCUUUGGAGAGCCCACAGUUAACCCUAUUUGUAGAUGGCAGUUCCUUUAUAAAUUCUCAAGGAAACAGACAGGCAGGAUACGCGGUAGUUAUGUCAUCCACUGUUCUAGAAGCUAAGCCUUUACCACAAGGAACAACAUCACAGCAGGCGGAGCUUAUCGCACUAACUAGGGCUCUCCUCCUAUCUAGAGGAAAAACAGUAAACAUAUACACAGAUUCUAAGUAUGCCUUCUUAAUUGCACACACCCAUUCUGUCAUCUGGAAAGAAAGAGGGUUCCUAACCACCUGUGGUACCCCCAUAAUCAACAAAAAGCAAAUACUUAAACUGCUAGACGCUUUAUCAGCACCUUCCAAAGCAGCCAUCAUACACUGUAAAGGUCAUCAGAUUCCAUCUAACCCGGUGGCAGCUGGCAACAAUUUUGCUGACACCACUGCCAAAUCGGCUGCUGGAUUCUCCACCCCUACAUUUCCUUCUGUUUGUUUUCUUUCUCCCUAAUAUACCCCUAAUUACACCCAGGAAGUAAAAAGCAAAGUAUUAUAAGACUCAACAGCCAGACUAGCCACAGACAAUUGGAUUUACAUCAAUAAUAAAUUAGUUAUUCCUAAAACACAACUCCACACCGUCUUAAGACACAUACAUAAUUCCUUGCACAUAGGACCCAGAGCUCUGUAUAACCUUCUAAGCCCCCUUAUCCACUGCCCUACACUCAUGAAACACCUAAUUAUAAUCAACCAACAGCGCUCCACAUGCCUCAAGUCAAAUCCUCAAGGCGCAUUACGCAACUCCCACCCAAGUCACCAACUCAGAGGACACCAACCAGGCGAAGAUUGGCAAAUUGAUUUUACCCACAUGCUAAAACAUAAAAUAUUCAAAUAUCUCUUAACCCUCGUUGAUACCUUUUCAGGAUGGAUAGAGGCCUGUCCACAGGAGAGACUGCCAAUGUAGGGGCCUCCAUACUCACUGAACACAUUAUUCCUAGGUUCGGCCUCCCACUCACCCUCCAGUCUGACAAUGGCCCAGCCUUCAUCUCCAAGGUAUUCCAACAGGUGGCAGCCCUCCUCCACAUCACCUGGAAACUCCACAUCCCUUAUAGACCCCAGUCCUCAGGAUCCAAGAAAUCACCCGAGUCACCUUCAAUCAAAUGCUCCCGCAUCCCUACACCCAACUGCCAACCUCAGAACCUAACUACACCCCUUAACAGCAAGAAGCAGCCAGACAGACAACGGCGCCCCGGAUUGUUAUAAUCAAUAAGAGGUUGGACUGUCUGGGUGAAGGGGAAAAGGACAAGAUGGAGGGAGGUGAACAGAAAAGAUGCAGCCCCUACUACUUCCGGGUUCUUCAUCAUCCAACUUACCCGCAUGUGGGAAAAUGCAGCCUGCGCCGGGAAAAAAGCAGACCAAUGGAGCAGGCGUGAGGUGAGGACAAUUUGAGGAAACAGAAACUUACUAUGGAGACGUCCCUGGCACGCCCUUAUCCCACCCACUGCCCUCCCAUUUCCAAGCCGAGGACAUAAAAGUCGAGGCCGGCAGGCACCGGCGCGAACUUCCCCGGCCCCAUUGCUUGUGGACCGAGGAACCUCGCCCGAGAGCGCCGGCUCGACUUCUCUGGCCCCACUUAGAGGACCGGUGAACCUCGCCCAAGAGCCCUGACCUGUUGGUCAAUAAAGUUAUUUCUUUUCUAC